Molecule: small RNA, 95 nt
Filed under: Vibrio hippocampi
Lineage: Bacteria; Pseudomonadati; Pseudomonadota; Gammaproteobacteria; Vibrionales; Vibrionaceae
Description: t44
Rfam family: t44 RNA
About the family: This family consists of a number of bacterial RNA genes of between 135 and 170 bases in length.
Source: RNAcentral
CUCACUUUAAUUUAAAUCACACACAUUUCGUCACAUGUUCCGGGGUGCUUGAGUCAAACUCUAAGUCGGACGCAUGGGAAAUGUGGAGGCCUAAC